This is a long non-coding RNA of Clupea harengus (Atlantic herring), 1414 nucleotides long. The record is from Ensembl. Lineage: Eukaryota; Metazoa; Chordata; Actinopteri; Clupeiformes; Clupeidae.
AACAAUUAACAAAAUAUGCAUUCUUGUAAAAUAAUAGGAUAAAAAGACUGGUAAAAAGUGCUAAGUUGGUAUAAAGUGCUAAAAAGUUAAAUGCUAAGAGGUUAAGUGCUAGAAAACCACACAAUCAAAAGUGAAAAUAUACAAAUAUAAAUAAGUGCUGGGUAAGAAAGGUAAAGCCAACAAGUAAGAGGAAAAAAUAAAAAGGCACACAGACACACAAAAGAAAACAAAAACAAAGGGAUACCAGUCCUAAUAAACUAAAACCAUACAGAGUAUAAAAGUUAAUGGAAAUAAAUAAAUAAUUAAUACAUAGUUAAUAAUUUAUCUGUUUUACAAAUAUAAAAAAGACCUACAAGGGGAGGGAAGGAAACAGACAGGGAGACACAAGGGGGAUAAAAGGUUUUAUUUUUUAAUUGAGUUUUUCGUUAAAACCUGUAGGGAAAAGUGUAUUUAAUUUUAAAAUCCACAGCCUCUCUGCUCUUUUUCUCUGGGCUGUGGACCAGCCUGGAUUCCCCUCAAGGCCGCAUGUUUGAAGGUGGGAAGUGUUGUGUGUCUGAAAAUGAAUGACGAGGUGUGUUUGGAGUUUAUUGUUACGUAUGUUGCGGAGGUGUUGUGUGAGGCGUAUGCGAAGUGUAUGUUUGGUUUCUCCAAUGUAGAUCAGGUGACAGAGGGUACAGGUGAUGGCAUAAACUAAGUUGGGGGUGUCUAAAUUAAGGGGGCUGUUGGGGGCUGAAAGGUGACUAUGAAUGUUGGUGAUGAAGUGAUGGGGUCUGAAAUAAAUAUUUUCUUUGGGAGUGGGGGGCUUGAGAUGACGAGUGAAGGUGGUUCUGAUAAGUAGGUCCUUGAGGUUUUUAUUGCGUUUAUAUGCGGAAAUGAUUGUGGUGUUCUGAAAUGUAGGGAGUGUUGUUUGCAGUGUAGUGAAGUUGUGUUUCAGUCUGUGGUGUAGAUGUUGUGUACCUUGUGAGAAAGUGGUGAUGAGGGGUAGGAUGUAUGUUUCUGUAGGGGGGGUUAAGGUUAGGGUUAGGAAUGAGGUCUGAUAUAGGGUGUGAUGGCACGGCUGGGCUAGGGUAAAGAUCUGGGAUGGGGUUAGAGACAGGGUUAGGGUUAGGAAUGGGGUUUGGGUUAGGGUUAGGAUUUGGGUAUGGGUUAAGGUUAGGGUUAGGGUUAGGGGAAUAAAUCCUGUCCAGCCCAAGAGAACGCAAGUAAGUACUAAGCCCAGGCUCCAGGGGGAUGUGGGGAUAGGAUCUGGGGUUAGGUUCAGGCAUGGGGUAAGGUUUUGGGACAGGGUUAUGGUCAGGAUGGGGGAUAGGUUAGGAUAUGUUGACCCCAGGCUUUUCCCAAACUCACACUCAAAGGGCCAGAGCAGUUUGUGCACUGUCCAUCCCUUUAAUCUCCUUGUGUCACUCUCUUCCUA